Molecule: long non-coding RNA, 219 nt
Filed under: Hordeum vulgare
Lineage: Eukaryota; Viridiplantae; Streptophyta; Magnoliopsida; Poales; Poaceae
Description: long non-coding RNA (HVUL_LNC008035)
Source: RNAcentral
AAAUCUAAGAAGAAGCGCCGCAUCACAUCACUUCCAUGCGGCGGCUUACACGCGCAUGCAAAAACCUUCUACCCCAUGAUAACAUCAUCGCAUUAAAUGCUUUUUUGAAUUUUAAAAAUGAUUUAUCUUAUAGAUUAAUAAUUUGAUUGAAGAUUCGUCUUCACCGUUAGGUUCGUUUCGACGAGACCUUUAAAAUAAGAUCCCAUGUUGACAUGUUUC